GUUGGUCAUUUGACUGAUUCAAUUGAGUGAUUUGUGUUUGCUUGUCUCAUUCUGUUGGUCAGCAGGAGGGAGUUUGUAUCCUCCUGUGGACAAAGAAGAGAUGAGCCUCCUUGUUGACAGGCUGACCUUCCCAGGAUCCUUAAACUGCCUGAAGCACAGUCUGCUGCAGGGAGAGGUGCACGCUUCCUCCUUGGGUCUCGGAUCAGGUGGGGAUAAAAGUUAUUGCUGCAGUUCCGUCACCAGCAUUAGAGGAAGCUCGGUGGAUGAGGUACAAUCCAAGAAUGAGACUCAUUUUUCAUCUACCAAGCGUUAUGGGAUGAAGCACCAAGUCAUUAGAAAUGGAUUUUCCAUUCUGCAUCUUUUAAUGAGGAGAUUGAAGAAUAGACAUAUGGAGAAGCUUGCUAAUGGCAAUCCUGUGUAUGGGCUGUUGAAUCGUAAAGUCGGAUGAAGUUUUAACUGUUGCUGUGACUGACCUAAAGAGGAUUUGCCUCCACCAAUGCUACCCUGGAGGGAGGUCCCAACUAGGGUCCCAAAGGUAUGGAACCUCCUGGAGUAGUUGGAGCUCACACUGAUAUAGGAAUCUGAUAAAAAAUAAAUUGAUGCUUCUUGUAUUUUGGUCAAGACUUACUGCUGUGACUUGUUCCCAUGAACCAACAUCCUCUUGUGAAGGAAGGGCCAAAGUUUCCUUUAUUCCCAAGAGAACUGAUUACAGUGACUGUUUCUAUUUUGGUAAGUUAUAUAAACAUGUUUCGGUGAGAGCAAAAAAAAGCAUAGCAUGUUUAGUGAUUCAGCAAAAAUGAGGAUGGCUUUGGUUAGACAAAAACAGUUCAAGUCUUCUUAUUAGUGCCAUUUCCACUGACUCUCAAAAACAUUGCUUUUAAAAUUGCCUUAAGAAGAAAAAUUAGACUGUUUUUUUUUUUUUUUUGAGGAAGAUCAGCCCUGAGCUAAUUACUGCCAGCCCUCCUCUUUUUGCUGAGGAAGCCUGGCCCUGAGCUAACAUCCGUGCCCAUCUUCCUCUACUUUGUAUGUGGGACGCCUACCACAGCAUGGUGUGCCAAGUGGUGCCAUGUCCACACCCGGGAUCUGAACCGGCGAACCCUGGGCUGCUGAAGUGGAACGUGCAAACUUAACAGCUGCGCCACCAGGCUGGCCCCCAAAAUUAGACUGUUUAUGAAAAUCCCUUUCAAGCUUAUGGUAGAAUCAUAGCAAAAGUGACUGUAGGGAGGACAUUUCCAGAAUGUCAAGAUCAUAAUUUGGUAUUUGGUCAGAUAUUGCCUUCCAGAUAAUACUCUCUGCCAGCUUUGAGGUUUCUGUGUUUUGGACUAACAAACUAUCAAAGUCAAUGUUUCUACACAUAAGAAUAAAGAAUGGAAUGGUUUUUCAAGCACCUUUCAGUUGAAACCUAGAUGCUUAGUCUGUUAACAUGGUGGUGUAUUUGCUGUUUGAGUUUUUUUCUUAUUUCAGGAAAUUAAUUUACUGAAAGCCAAGGUAACCCCAUUUCACUUCUCCCUAUCAAAACAGGUAAGCCCAGCUGUAAGACCGAUAUAAGGAGACAGGGUCAGACAACACUGGCAGGGUAGGCUUUCCAUGUGCACAAAAGAGUGUAAAUAUACCACUAAUGUAACCAACCUAAGUGGAAGUGAGGCACUUCAUUGGGGGGAUUUAUUGGAAAAUUAUAGUUUGAUUAUUCAUUCAUUCAACAAAUAUGUAUUGACCACUUACCAUGGUGACACAGCCUCUGACCUCACAAAGCUUGCAUUCUAACGGUGGAGACCAUCAAGUAAACAAGUGUAACCAGGAUAACAUUUUGAAAGUGCUAAACAGAUGUAGUUUUAAUUCCCAUUAAAUCACAAUAGCCUGAAGCUUGCCACCAUAUAUGCACACAGAUGGACCAUACAAUCCAAACUUGGGCUAAUAAGGCUUUGUUAUAAGGAUGAAUAAGAGCUGGGGGCUAAAUAGUGAUAGGCAGAAGUGCAAACAAGUUGAAAUCCUGGAUCCCAGUGAGAGCAUUUGAGGAACUGAAAGAAGUUCAGCUGGAAAUAAGUGGCUGGAAUCAAAAAGGAAGUGGCAAAAGAUGAGGAUGGAGAAGUGAGCCAAAGUACAUCAAGUAUGUCCAAUAAGCCUUAUUACCAUGUAUUUGAGGAAUGGAAAGGAGGCCCUUGUGACUGGAACUAUCUAAGUGGAAUAUUUAAAAUCAUCAUUAUAAGUGGUGACCAACUUGAACAUUAGAGUUCAAUUAGUCUAUCAACCUCGGGAACCAUGAUGUUGCUGUGAUCCAAUUUGGAUGAGCACCUUGUGUAAGCAAGAAAAAUGAAAAAGAAUUUGGGUGUUUGGUCAAGUUGCCGUCACAUCUGCACUGGAUAUAGGGGAGUGAUGGACUCUGCACAGCAUCCUAUGGGUGCACAUUCUCAAAUAUUCUAAGGUCUCAUUGUGACAAGAGUGGGCGUAGGCUCGGGUUCAGUAAACAGCAGCAGAAAGUCUUGUGAGGCAGCUCUGAUUCCUCUCCUCCCUGCCCUUACUAGGGGCAGCUUCCCCAGAGGAAUGGAAAUUAGCAUUCAUAAGAGGCUUUGUCUAUGUUCGCUGAAAGAGCUGUAGAGCCCUAUCAUGGGGUUGAAGGGAGGGUGAGACAGGCCUGUGGGGUGCUACAUAUGGUGGUUACUAUUUAACUAUAGGUAUCAGAGGGAUCCAGAGAGCUAGUCUAUAGCAUAUGUCUAAGAAAGAGUGCUAGGGAUCAAAACUAGAAAAAUCAAAUCAGUUAUGGGUCCAAGAGUCAAGCAAGAAUCCAGAAACAAGAUGAAGAGGAGAAAAAAGCUCAUGAGUGAAGGGGUCUAGGUCUGGAACUUUUGCAAUGAGCAGAGUAAUGACACUUGGGUUCUCCUUAGUUGGGCACCAGCUGUACUUGCAUGAAUAAGUCAGCCUCAGUUAAGACAUAGGGUCAUAGUAGACAUGUAAAGAAAUGAGGAACACUGCUGACAGAUGGACACUGGGAACUACUGUCAAAAGAAACCAAGAAAAACCACAGCUGAGUGUUCCAAGAUGAAAAUGGCUCCUGGAAGGGUAAAUAGAGGAUCAGGCUGGGAGAUCACAUGACUCAGUGGUCUCUAUUCAGCUUUCUCUGAAAUUCUGAAAGAAGUCAUUUUGGUAUAAGAGAAAGGAAUAGAGAUAGAGGCAAACUGGGAAACAGAGACUCCUGGCAGGGCCUUAGACCAACUAGUACACAAUUAUAACCUCUUCUUGGAUGCCUGGUAGAGACUAAGAGAAAAGAUGACUGCAUAAAUCUAAGAGAUGCGUGGCGUCCUUUGUCACUGGUUUUUGGUUUGCAAACGGGCAGAUGAGAAAUGAGAUUCCUUCAAUGGUGACCUAAUGGCCUUUCACAUCCUAGUCAGUUUUUAUUAAUAGAUUGCCCUUUAUGAUAAUAAAUUUUCCUUCUUUGUAAUUUUCCUUAUACCCAAGCAGAAAAUAUAUUUACACCAGAGUCGUUUCUUUCCUUUAGGGCCAGAAACUAUUUGGGGGAGUCUCUGGCAGGGUGUUUGUUUUUCUUAUUUUUUUUAUGGUCUACUAUACAAGUUAUACAUGGUGAUUUGAAUUCAGAUUAAAGCAAUCUAUGAAGUCAAGAGAAAUCUAUGAAGUUGUUAAAAUAGGGAACUAAAUAUCCCUGAGUCUGAGGUUUUGAAGUCAAUUGAAACACAAACACAUUAAGUAAUCCUGCACGUGUCCUUUGGCUCGGUCUAUUUCCUUCAAGUGUGUGGUUUAUCUUUGUGUAAAGAGACUUAAAAUAAAUUAUGCUUAAAAUAGUAUUAUAAAAAUGAUUUUAUAAUUAAAUUAUUGUAAUUAAAUUAAUUUAAAUUGGCUUAAAUCUUUGACAAAAUUGAAAAAUACAAACUUUAAGACACAUUAUAUUGAAGUAAAUAAGGUAGGAGGAAGACUACGUCCAUAGUUAGGCUAAAAGCAGUCAAUGAGCACAAAACUUAGAUGUGAGUUUCUUGAUUGUUAGAGCACAAAUAAAUCAUGUUGGAUUCUAUAUUUCUCAUGAUCUAACCUAAGGAAUUAUACCUUUGUAUCCAAAUGGACAUUUUGUUUUCCCCAACACUCUAGGAGAAAUUUAUCACAAAAAUCAUUAUAUAAGAGACCUUUAGCAAGAUGGUAGACAAUACAUUCAGUUCACAGUUGAGGAAAUGCAGAAACAGUCUUCAUGUGGUUAUUUCUUAUAACAACCCUUUCUACAAUAGGAGGUAAAAUGUUAAGUCUAAUUUGAGAAAGUAUGACUUUGUGAGAGUAAAUUAGUAAUGGGAUUUUUGUGCGUGUGUGAUCUGAUGGUGGCAGUGGUAAACUGUUGAGAAGCUGGGGCAAUGAGCUCCCCCUCAUGAUUCAGAUGUCCCAGAUGAGCUUGUGAGAAGAGGAGUAGAGAAGAAAAUUCAAAAGCAAGCCUGCUCCAGAAAUGGCAAGCAUCUGGGUUGUAAGUUGAUGGGAGAUCCUCAUGUAGCCACUACCUGUGUAGGAAGCAAGGUCAAAGUUGUUAGGCAAGUUAAAGAGCCUUUUGCAAACUCUUGCCCAGAUGAAAGUUCUACUUCGAUUUUCACAGAAGUGGAUUGUCAUGAAAACAAGGUUUGGGAAAAAUUAAUGCUUGUGGUUUCCACAUACUAAAUUGGCUACUGGCAUAUUAUUCAAAGAGAAUAUAAAGCAUUCAUUGACUAUCUGAAUAAAAAAACUGCUUAAACUCUCAUUUUCCAGCUCAUGUGGUGGGAUAUACUAUUGACACAGCUGUCUUAACCUAUGUGUGGCAAAAUAUUAGCUUACUAAAGACCAUUCCUCAUCACCAUUUUCCUUAGAGGAGUAUCAUGCAAAAAAAGAGAAGCCCAUGGUAGUCAAGACUGUGGCAAUACUAUACUCCCCAUCAACAGCCAGGUGCAGCUAGAAGAAAACUUCCAAGAAGAGGCAGCAGAGUCUAUAAGAAGAUGUUGAACCUGUGUUGGGCAGCUGGUCUCAGCAGGGCCUGUAAGACAAGCAUCAAUUGCCAACCCUCGGCAUGUGGUUUAUUAUCAGUGAGUGGCAGUAGAGAACUGACUGAGUGCCAAGAGAAGCUGGAACCUCCUCUUGCUCAGCCACAGCACAGACCAGCAUAACCGGACCAACGGCUGGGUGCUUGGGGCAAGUCUCCCUGCAGCGAAGGGAGGAGGAAUGAGUAAUGAUGCCUGGGACAGAGAAAGUAGUGGUGUCCCUGGGGGCCAUACCUGUCUAGACCCCAAUAUAGAGAAGGGACAGUUUCCAAGCCAGUGAAAACAGAGAUGGGUGGGAUGGACCCACAAGAGAUAUUGGAGGGAACAGGACAUAGUUUUGCAUAGUUGUUUGGGGAAAGAAGUCUUCAAAUGAGAGGGAAGCCCCAGAUCUAUGUGGAGAAAUAUUACAUCUUUUUUUUCCUUUCCUUCCAGAACCAAAGCAGUGAGAGUGGCUUUUAGAAAAUACAGAAACUGUAAACCCUGGUGUGGGGCUUGUUGGCAGUGGGUAGUGAGUGAAUGAAUAACCCAUUUAGGAUUAUAUUUUAGAUUUUGGAGUCUACAUAUAUUAGUCCAAUCUCUGCGCUCCUCCUCAAAUACUCCCCAAAGCUAUAGCCUGGAUGGACCAACACCACCCCAAAUUAAAGGAAGAAAGAAAUUCUGGACUAAUAGACUAAAGGAUUGACUCUCAUGAUUUGAGGAGUAAAUAAAAUGUCUCCCAGUAUUUCCCAGCUUAUCUUCCCCUCAGCUACCAUGAUCUUUUACUGCUAAUUUUUAAAACCUAAUUGCUUAAACAAACUGACCCCACUUCCUUAUUCCCCUCGCUCUUCAACCUGACUUUUGUCCCCAUCUCUCCUCCAAUAGAGUUCCUGCUAAUGACCUCCAUGUCACUAAAUGCAAUGAGCAUUUUUUCAGUCUUCAUCUUACUUGACCACUCAGCAGCAUUUUUUUUCUGUGACGCCUAAUGUCCCUCCUACCUUCCUAUCUCUUAUUUUUAGACUUAUCCUCUUUUCUUGAGACCUUUAAAGUUGGUGCCCCUCAAGAUUUAUUCCUAAACUUUUUCUCUUAAUCGACAUCCAUAGAUAUGGGAUGUCACCCCUACCCAUUUGAAGCUAUCAAAUUCCCUCAUUCAAUCAAACUUAUCAUACUAAUCAAACUUAACUCUUAUUCCCCCUUGCCCUCCCAUCCUCCAAUUCACUCUCCACAGUGUUAUUUUAAAGAAGUACUCUUGUCACUUCUCUGCCCUUGGAUAAAGACUGGCUUCUGCUUGCUUCUCCUACUGCACCACAUUCAGCUUCUAUCAACAUCCUCCUUUCAGUUCUUUCUCUUUCAAGGUCUUUGCUAAGGCAGUUACCUCUGCCUGGAAUAUUUCUACCAUUCUCUGUGCCCCCCACAACCUCAUCUAGUUCUUGCCUAAUCAUCCUUCAUGUUUUUGCCCAAAUGUUACUUCCUCAGGAAGGCUUCCUGACAACACCAAAAUAGAUCAAGUCCAUCUCUCACAUGCAGAGCCCCGUGAACUCUUCCUUUAAAGGCUUGUCACUGUUUAUAUGUAUUCGUGUGAUUAUUUAAUUAAUUCGUGUCUCUCGUAUUAGCUCCAGAAGGGGAGAUGCCUUGGCUGUUAGUUCUCUCUGCACCUCAGGAACCCAGGACAGAGAAUGAGUGAAGAAACCGAGGUCUUCCACAGUCAGAGGGCACGGGGAUGCUGGAACACCCAGAAAUGGAUUCUUCCUGUGAGUGACAUCACACAGUUGGAUUGGAAGUUUCCUGUUCCAUCUCCAGAGGAGAUGACAGAGUGUGGCUUUAAGGAGAUACUGGGUGCAGACCUUGCCUCUUGGACUGAGAAGCCUUUCAGUGAGUCAGAAGAACAGGUAAUUGCAUUAAUCUUAUGUAAACCAGUCACCAGGAAACACUUGCUAUUUAUUCCACAAUCUAUUCUCCCUCUUUCAUCAUCACCAUUUGUGUUCCACCCAUACAGCAAAGCUCAUCUAAGAGAAAAAACAUUGCCAGCAGUAUUUACCUUCUGCUCAGCAUGAGAACAUUUGUCUUUGUGCAGUGAAUACGUCCAUUUAUAAGCAAACAG
This 7074-nucleotide long non-coding RNA is filed under the name Equus caballus (horse). RNAcentral's name for it is "lncRNA (ENSECAG00000047738.1)". Lineage: Eukaryota; Metazoa; Chordata; Mammalia; Perissodactyla; Equidae. The record is from RNAcentral.